Molecule: ribosomal RNA, 916 nt
Filed under: uncultured archaeon
Lineage: Archaea
Description: SSU rRNA
Rfam family: Archaeal small subunit ribosomal RNA
Source: RNAcentral
UUUCCGGUUGAUCCUGCCGGACCUGACUGCUAUCGGAUUGAUACUAAGCCAUGCGAGUCUUUGCAGUAAUGCAAGGCAUACGGCUCAGUAACACGUAGUCAACUUACCCUAUGGACGAGGAUAAUCUCGGGAAACUGAGCAUAAUACUCGAUAGAUCAUAAUGCCUGGAAUGGUUUAUGGUUGAAAUGAUUCGUCGCCAUAGGAUGGGACUGCGGCCUAUCAGCUUGUUGGUGAGGUAAUGGCCCACCAAGGCGAUUACAGGUACGGGCUCUGAGAGGAGAAGCCCGGAGAUGGGUACUGAGACAAGGACCCAGGCCCUAUGGGGCGCAGCAGGCGAGAAAACUUUGCAAUGUGCGAAAGCACGACAAGGUUAAUCCGAGUGAUUUCUGCUAAAGAAAUCUUUUGCAAGUCAUAAAACCACUAGUGAAUAAGGGGUGGGCAAGUUCUGGUGUCAGCCGCCGCGGUAAAACCAGCACCUCAAGUGGUCAGGAGGAUUAUUGGGCCUAAAGCAUCCGUAGCCGGCUCUGUAAGUUUUCGGUUAAAUCCAUGUGCUCAACGCAUGGGCUGCCGAAAAUACUGCAUAGCUAGGGAGUGGGAGAGGUAGACGGUACUCAGUAGGAAGGGGUAAAAUCCUUUGAUCUAUUGAUGACCACCUGUGGCGAAGGCGGUCUACCAGAACACGUUCGACGGUGAGGGAUGAAAGCUGGGGGAGCAAACCGGAUUAGAUACCCGGGUAGUCCCAGCUGUAAACGAUGCAGACUCGAUGAUGCAUUGGCAUAUAGCCAGUGCAGUGUCGCAGGGAAGCCGUUAAGUCUGCCGCCUGGGAAGUACGUACGCAAGUAUGAAACUUAAAGGAAUUGGCGGGGGAGCACCACAAGGGGUGAAGCCUGCGGUUCAAUUGGAGUCAACGCCGGGA